CCUACGGGAGGCUGCAGUCGAGAAUCAUUCACAAUGGGGGAAACCCUGAUGGUGCGACGCCGCGUGGGGGAAUGAAGGUCUUCGGAUUGUAAACCCCUGUCAUGUGGGAGCAAAUUAAAAAGAUAGUACCACAAGAGGAAGAGACGGCUAACUCUGUGCCAGCAGCCGCGGUAAUACAGAGGUCUCAAGCGUUGUUCGGAAUCACUGGGCGUAAAGUGUGCGUAGGCUGUUUCGUAAGUCGGGUGUGAAAGGCGCGGGCUCAACCCGCGGACGGCACAUGAUACUGCGAGACUAGAGUAAUGGAGGGGGAACCGGAAUUCUCGGUGUAGCAGUGAAAUGCGUAGAUAUCGAGAGGAACACUCGUGGCGAAGGCGGGUUCCUGGACAUUAACUGACGCUGAGGCACGAAGGCCAGGGGAGCGAAAGGGAUUAGAUACCCCUGUAGUC
Molecule: ribosomal RNA, 446 nt
Filed under: uncultured bacterium
Lineage: Bacteria
Description: partial 16S ribosomal RNA
Rfam family: Bacterial small subunit ribosomal RNA
Source: RNAcentral